GUACUGCCAGACUUGGAACCGGGAGAGGUAAGAGGUACGUACAGGGGUAGGGAGGUGAAAUCUUGUAAUCCCUCGUGGGACCGACCUCGUGGCGAAGGCGUCUUACCAGAACGGGUUCGACGGUGAGGGACGAAAGACUGGGGCGACGAACCGGAUUAGAUACCCGGGUAGUCCCAGCCGUAAACGAUGCUCGCUAGGUGUCAGGCAUGGCGCGACCGUGUCUGGUGCCGCAGGGAAGCCGUGAAGCGAGCCACCUGGGAAGUACGGCCGCAAGGCUGAAACUUAAAGGAAUUGGCGGGGGAGCACAACAAAACCGGGUGGAGCCUGCGGUUUAAUUGGACUCAACGCCGAACAACUCACCGGGGCGACAGCAAUAUGUAGGCCAAGCUGAAGACUUUGCCUGAAUCGCUGAGGGGAGGUGCAUGG
This 426-nucleotide ribosomal RNA is filed under the name uncultured archaeon. RNAcentral describes it as "bacterial SSU rRNA". It matches the Rfam family "Archaeal small subunit ribosomal RNA", at positions 581 to 997 of the family's 1478-position model. The record is from RNAcentral.